This 498-nucleotide ribosomal RNA is filed under the name uncultured bacterium. RNAcentral describes it as "partial 16S ribosomal RNA". It matches the Rfam family "Bacterial small subunit ribosomal RNA", at positions 28 to 507 of the family's 1533-position model. The record is from RNAcentral.
GACGAACGCUGGCGGCGUGCCUAAUACAUGCCAGUCGAGCGGACGGAUGGGAGCUUGCUCCCAGACCGUCAGCGGCGGACGGGUGAGUAACACGUGGGCAACCUGCCUGUAAGACUGGGAUAACUCCGGGAAACCGGGGCUAAUACCGGAUAACUCUUUCCCUCACAUGAGGGAAAGCUGAAAGAUGGCAUCUCGCUAUCACUUACAGAUGGGCCCGCGGCGCAUUAGCUAGUUGGUGAGGUAACGGCUCACCAAGGCGACGAUGCGUAGCCGACCUGAGAGGGUGAUCAGCCACACUGGGACUGAGACACGGCCCAGACUCCUACGGGAGGCAGCAGUAGGGAAUCUUCCGCAAUGGACGAAAGUCUGACGGAGCAACGCCGCGUGAGUGAUGAAGGUUUUCGGAUCGUAAAACUCUGUUGUCAGGGAAGAACAAGUACCGGAGUAACUGCCGGUACCUUGACGGUACCUGACCAGAAAGCCACGGCUAACUACGUG